Molecule: ribosomal RNA, 427 nt
Filed under: uncultured bacterium
Lineage: Bacteria
Description: partial 16S ribosomal RNA
Rfam family: Bacterial small subunit ribosomal RNA
Source: RNAcentral
UGGGGAAUAUUGCACAAUGGGCGCAAGCCUGAUGCAGCCAUGCCGCGUGUAUGAAGAAGGCCUUCGGGUUGUAAAGUACUUUCAGCGGGGAGGAAGGCGAUAAGGUUAAUAACCUUGUCGAUUGACGUUACCCGCAGAAGAAGCACCGGCUAACUCCGUGCCAGCAGCCGCGGUAAUACGGAGGGUGCAAGCGUUAAUCGGAAUUACUGGGCGUAAAGCGCACGCAGGCGGUCUGUCAAGUGGGAUGUGAAAUCCCCGGGCUCAACCUGGGAACUGCAUUCGAAACUGGCAGGCUAGAGUCUUGUAGAGGGGGGUAGAAUUCCAGGUGUAGCGGUGAAAUGCGUAGAGAUCUGGAGGAAUACCGGUGGCGAAGGCGGCCCCCUGGACAAAGACUGACGCUCAGGUGCGAAAGCGUGGGGAGCAAACA